AGGCAGCAGUGGGGAAUUUUGCGCAAUGGGGGAAACCCUGAUCUAGCGACGCCGCGUGCAGGAAGAAGGUCUUCGGAUUGUAAACUGCUGUGGUAAGGGAAAAAUGCCAUGUAGAGUGGAAAGCUGCAUGGAGGGAUGGUACUUUACUAGAAAGCCCCGGCUAACUACGUGCCAGCAGCCGCGGUAAUACGUAGGGGGCGAGCGUUACCCGGAAUCACUGGGCGUAAAGGGAGCGUAGGUGGCCUGACAUGUCAACUGUGAAAACCCGGAGCUCAACUCCGGACUUGCAGUUGAAACUGCCAGGCUUGAGGACGGUAGAGGAAGACGGAACUGCCAGUGUAGGGGUAAAAUCCUUAGAUAUUGGCAGGAACGCCGGUGACGAAGGUGGUUUUCUGGGCCGGUUCUGACACUGAUGCUCGAAAGCCAGGGUAGCAAACAGGAUUAGAUACCC
RNAcentral lists this ribosomal RNA (451 nucleotides) under uncultured bacterium. RNAcentral's name for it is "bacterial SSU rRNA". It matches the Rfam family "Bacterial small subunit ribosomal RNA", at positions 346 to 787 of the family's 1533-position model. The record is from RNAcentral.